AUGGCUCAUUAAAUCAGGGACUCGAGCUGGGGCGCAGCACACACCACCAGGACACACAGCGAUCAGCAUCGACGGCGCGCAUCACGGGCGACCAGUUAUCGUUUAUUUGAUAGUACCUAGGCAUGAGCUCGAGCUAGGGCUAGCACUACUACGACUACGACCGGCAGGAGUCAGCAUCGACUGAUCAGCGGGCGAUCGACGAUCAGUACACCAAAAAACCAAUGCCCUUCGGGGCUCCUUGGUGAAUCAUAAUAACUUAACGAAUCGCAUGGCCUUGCGCCGGCAUGGUUCAUUCAAAUUUCUGCCCUAUCAACUUUCGAUGGUAGGAUAGUGGCCUACCAUGGUGGCAACGGGUAACGGGGAAUUAGGGUUCGAUUCCGGAGAGGGAGCCUGAGAAACGGCUACCACAUCCAAGGAAGGCAGCAGGCGCGCAAAUUACCCAAUCCCGACAGGGGCUCUUUUGGGUCUCGUAAUUGGAAUGAGUACAAUCUAAAUCCCUUAACGAGGAACAAUUGGAGGGCAAGUCUGGUGCCAGCAGCCGCGGUAAUUCCAGCUCCAAUAGCGUAUAUUAAAGUUGUUGCAGUUAAAAAGCUCGUAGUUGAACCUUGGGUCUGGCUGGCCGGUCCGCCUCACCGCGAGUACUGGUCCGGCUGGACCUUUCCUUCUGGGGAAUCUCAUGGCCUUCACUGGCUGUGGGGGGAACCAAGACUUUUACUGUGAAAAAAUUAGAGUGUUCAAAGCAGGCCUUUGCUCGAAUACAUUAGCAUGGAAUAAUAGAAUAGGACGUGCGGUUCUAUUUUGUUGGUUUCUAGGACCGCCGUAAUGAUUGACUAACUACUGCGAAAGCAUUCGCCAAGGAUGUUUUCAUUAAUCAGGGAACGAAAGUUAGGGGGAUCGAAGACGAUCAGAUACCGUCGUAGUCUUAACCAUAAGUACAAUCUAAAUCCCUUAACGAGGAACAAUUGGAGGGCAAGUCUGGUGCCAGCAGCCGCGGUAAUUCCAGCUCCAAUAGCGUAUAUUAAAGUUGUUGCAGUUAAAAAGCUCGUAGUUGAACCUUGGGUCUGGCUGGCCGGUCCGCCUCACCGCGAGUACUGGUCCGGCUGGACCUUUCCUUCUGGGGAAUCUCAUGGCCUUCACUGGCUGUGGGGGGAACCAGGACUUUUACUGUGAAAAAAUUAGAGUGUUCAAAGCAGGCCUUUGCUCGAAUACAUUAGCAUGGAAUAAUAGAAUAGGACGUGCGGUUCUAUUUUGUUGGUUUCUAGGCCGCCGUAAUGAACUAUGCCGACUAGGGAUCGGACGGUGUUUCUAUUAUGACCCGUGUCUGGGGGGGAGUAUGGUCGCAAGGCUGAAACUUAAAGAAAUUGACGGAAGGGCACCACCAGGCGUGGAGCCUGCGGCUUAAUUUUGACUCAACACGGGGAAACUCACCCGGCACAGGACUAGCAGCUAGCAGGGAUCGACUAGCAUCAGCAUCAGCGACGUACGUAGCAGCAGCGACACAAUAGGGAUAGUCGGGGGCGUCAGUAUUCAGCUGUCAGAAGUGAAAUUCUUGGACACCAAUUUGCUGAAGACUAACUACUGCGAAAGCAUUCGCCAAGGAUGUUUUCAUUAAUCAAACAGAGCGGCAGGGAACGAAAGU
Molecule: ribosomal RNA, 1639 nt
Filed under: Aspergillus niger
Lineage: Eukaryota; Fungi; Ascomycota; Eurotiomycetes; Eurotiales; Aspergillaceae
Description: SSU rRNA
Rfam family: Eukaryotic small subunit ribosomal RNA
Source: RNAcentral